GGAUUAGAUACCCUGGUAGUCCACGCCGUAAACGAUGGAUACUAGGUGUAGGAGGUAUCGACCCCUUCUGUGCCGGAGUUAACACAAUAAGUAUCCCACCUGGGGAGUACGACCGCAAGGUUGAAACUCAAAGGAAUUGACGGGGGCCCGCACAAGCAGUGGAGUAUGUGGUUUAAUUCGAAGCAACGCGAAGAACCUUACCAGAGCUUGACAUCCACAGAAUGCUCAUGAGAAUGAGCAGUGCCUUCGGGAGCUGUGAGACAGGUGGUGCAUGGUUGUCGUCAGCUCGUGCUG
Molecule: ribosomal RNA, 294 nt
Filed under: uncultured bacterium
Lineage: Bacteria
Description: partial 16S ribosomal RNA
Rfam family: Bacterial small subunit ribosomal RNA
Source: RNAcentral